RNAcentral lists this ribosomal RNA (467 nucleotides) under uncultured bacterium. RNAcentral's name for it is "partial 16S ribosomal RNA". It matches the Rfam family "Bacterial small subunit ribosomal RNA", at positions 28 to 506 of the family's 1533-position model. The record is from RNAcentral.
GACGAACGCUGGCGGCGUGCUUAACACAUGCAAGUCGAACGGAAAGGCCCUGCUUUUGUGGGGUGCUCGAGUGGCGAACGGGUGAGUAACACGUGAGUAACCUGCCCUUGACUUUGGGAUAACUUCAGGAAACUGGGGCUAAUACCGGAUAUGAGCUCCUGCUGCAUGGUGGGGGUUGGAUAGUUUCGUCGGUUGGGGAUGGACUCGCGGCUUAUCAGCUUGUUGGUGGGGUAGUGGCUUACCAAGGCUUUGACGGGUAGCCGACCUGAGAGGGUGACCGGCCACAAUGGGACUGAGAUACGGCCCAGACUGCUACGGGAGGCAGGAGUGGGGAAUAGUGCACAAUGGGCGGAAGCCUGAUGCAGCAACGACGCGUGGGGGAUGACGGCCUUCGGGUUGUAAACCGCUUUCGCCUGUGACGAAGCGUGAGUGACGGUAAUGGGUAAAGAAGCACCGGCUAACUACGU